UACGGAGGGUGCAAGCGUUGUUCGGAAUUACUGGGCGUAAAGGGCGCGUAGGCGGCCUGAUAAGUCAGAUGUGAAAGUCCACGGCUCAACCGUGGAAGUGCAUUUGAAACUGUCAGGCUUGAGUAUCGGAGGGGAGUGUGGAAUUCCCGGUGUAGAGGUGAAAUUCGUAGAGAUCGGGAGGAACACCGGUGGCGAAGGCGACACUCUGGACGAAUACUGACGCUGAGGCGCGAAAGCGUGGGGAGCAAACAGGAUUAGAUACCCCCGUA
Molecule: ribosomal RNA, 269 nt
Filed under: uncultured prokaryote
Description: partial 16S ribosomal RNA
Rfam family: Bacterial small subunit ribosomal RNA
Source: RNAcentral